GGUCCUCAGCCUGUCUCGCUGAUCCACUAUGGCUGGAGGCACAAGGGCUGGGCAUAUACAUGCAUGUAAAAAACCAAAAAUACGUCAUUUAACUAAUGAAAGGGUAAAACAAGAAGGAAGAAAAGGGCCUGCUGCUGUGAAGGUACAAGAGUAUCAGUCCAGCACAAGAACAAGACAGCCCUGGAGGUUGGUAUUCCCCGGCAUUCUGAAGUCAAGGCAUCAACCUUUUGGCUCUGAAUUGUACUUGUGGGAAUACUUUAAGUAG
This 265-nucleotide long non-coding RNA is filed under the name Mustela putorius furo (domestic ferret). RNAcentral describes it as "lncRNA (ENSMPUG00000026916.1)". Lineage: Eukaryota; Metazoa; Chordata; Mammalia; Carnivora; Mustelidae. The record is from RNAcentral.